Photinus pyralis (common eastern firefly) is the source of this 1935-nucleotide long non-coding RNA. RefSeq lists it as uncharacterized. The record is from RefSeq and is a predicted model, not a curated record. NCBI's taxonomy places the organism in Eukaryota, Metazoa, Arthropoda, Insecta, Coleoptera, Lampyridae. The transcript is spliced from 3 exons.
UCCACCUGGACGAACUUGCUGGGUUGAAUGUAUUAUAGAAUGAGGAAGACCCUCAAACGUAUCCUCUAAUUUAUUUCCAUCUCGUUGUUUUACGUAGUUGUGAAGAACACAUGAUGAUUUUACUAUAUCCACUGCGAAAUCAACACUGACGUUAAGUGGUCUAUGAAAGAUCCGCCAUUUAUUAGCUAAUAUGCCAAACGUGCAUUCAAUAUAUCGCCUCGCACGUGAUAACCGAUAGUUAAAAAUUAAUUUUUUCUCUGCUAAAUUCUUGCCACCAUAUGGACGCAUUAAAUUUUCCUGCAAGCUGAACGCUUCAUCCCCAAUAAACACAUUCGGUAAUAAAGGUCCAUUUUGUGAUAUUGUAGAAGGUGGAGGUAUAUUUAACUUUUUUUCUUGUAACAUUUUAUAUAGACAACUCUCUUCGAAAAUAGUCGAGUCAGCGUGUCUUCCAUAUGAGCCUAUAUCCACGAAAGUGAACAUAUAAAGCCUUAUUAAUAGAGCAACCGAAAGUAGGGUUUUAGUAUGCUACUAACUAGUAGCCACUAACAGUCGACUAAAGCUUCUUAUUAAUAGUGCAUAAAUUAGAAGGUACUACUUAGUAAGAUGUUAGUUGCAAUAUGCGAAUGGCAACGCGGCACUGAUGCCCAGUUGCACCGUUUUUUACUUAAGAAAUUCUUUAGUAAGUAGUUCUUACAUUUAAGUAGUUCUUAAAUAUUGGGUACGUUGCACCAACCACAUUUGAUAAAUUCUUACCUAAGAAUCGCUUAAGAAUUUGUAUACAUGGCAACAGUGUAAUAAUUUAGUGAAUUUGGUUUUAUUUGUAUAUUUUAACAGAACCUCACUUUACUGCUAAAAUAUAAACAAGUGAUAUCGAUUUAAAGGUGCUCUAUUUUUAUCGUACCUAUUUAAAAAUGGAAAACGAUGUAAGUGUUUUACAAUAUUUGAAUGGUUUACAAUCAUCUGCUGACCCUUAUUUUUGUAGGACUUGUCUCAGAAAAAUAAGAGUCGCACCCCUAAUUUUACUGGGAGCGAGAAACAGUUACUAUUCAGUAUCAUCCACAAAUACAAAGAAAUAAUAGAGAACAAGAAGACUGAUGGCGUUACCAAUGAAGAGAAAGUAAGGACUUGGGACAAAGUUGUUUCCGAGUUUAAUACCAGUUGUCCAGAACGUCAUCGGUCGUUGCAGUCUUUAAAAAAACUCUAUUACAACAAAAAGAAAGAGAUACGGAAGUCGGUGGCAGAAGAAACUAAGGAACGAUAUUUAACAGGUGUGGUGUUAUUUUAUUAUUUCUUCCUAAUCAUCAUAUUUUGAUAAAAGAUUAAUCGUAGUCAACUUUAUUUAAGGAGGGGGUGUGAUGAAGAUUCCCAAACCAUGCCCUGAUAAGGACUUGGUGUUGAGUAUAAUGAACGAAAAAACAACAUACGGUUUUAAUACUGAAUUUGAUUCCGACUUUGUUAAUUUGGUAAAGAAAAAAACCACAAGUAUAUUAUUUAUAUAAUGCCUACUGUCUUCAUGAAAUAACUUUAAUAAAUCUCAAUUUAUAGUGCGAGGUAUUGCCUGUAAAUGGAACAGCGAGAAAACCUACACAAAAUUCAUUGUUGUCUCCUGCUAUUGUAGAAGUAAUUGAAGAAGAUGACUGCAAUCUGUCUACAGAUUUCCCAAAUGAUGAGAUCAAAGGAGCUGUGGAGAACCUUUAUACACCUUCCACAUCCGGUAAACAAAAUGUGGAAUAUGACCAACCUUCUAAAAAGAGAAAAUUUAGUGCAAGUAGAAGACGUCCUGCAACGGUUGUGAAGGCUCUAACUUCAUCUGCACUUGGGGAAAAGUACAACAAAUUAGUUGACUACAGGUUAGCUAUAGCGGAAGCAGAGAUGAAGUGGCAAUCCGAGCAUCAUGCUCUGCAGCGAGAAUCAAUACUUCUGGAUAUUCAAAUA